GACGAACGCUGGCGGCGUGCCUAAUACAUGCAAGUUGAGCGAUGAAGAUUGGUGCUUGCACCAAUUUGAAGAGUAGCGAACGGGUGAGUAACGCGUGGGGAAUCUGCCUUUGAGCGGGGGACAACAUUUGGAAACGAAUGCUAAUACCGCAUAACAACUUUAAACAUAAGUUUUAAGUUUGAAAGAUGCAAUUGCAUCACUCAAAGAUGAUCCCGCGUUGUAUUAGCUAGUUGGUGAGGUAAAGGCUCACCAAGGCGAUGAUACAUAGCCGACCUGAGAGGGUGAUCGGCCACAUUGGGACUGAGACACGGCCCAAACUCCUACGGGAGGCAGCAGUAGGGAAUCUUCGGCAAUGGACGAAAGUCUGACCGAGCAACGCCGCGUGAGUGAAGAAGGUUUUCGGAUCGUAAAACUCUGUUGGUAGAGAAGAACGUUGGUGAGAGUGGAAAGCUCAUCAAGUGACGGUAACUACCCAGAAAGGGACGGCUAACUACGUG
Molecule: ribosomal RNA, 497 nt
Filed under: uncultured bacterium
Lineage: Bacteria
Description: partial 16S ribosomal RNA
Rfam family: Bacterial small subunit ribosomal RNA
Source: RNAcentral